UGGGGAAUAUUGCACAAUGGGCGAAAGCCUGAUGCAGCAACGCCGCGUGAGUGAUGAAGGUCUUCGGAUUGUAAAGCUCUGUCUUUUGGGACGAUAAUGACGGUACCAAAGGAGGAAGCCACGGCUAACUACGUGCCAGCAGCCGCGGUAAUACGUAGGUGGCGAGCGUUGUCCGGAUUUACUGGGCGUAAAGGGUGCGUAGGCGGAUGUUUAAGUGAGAUGUGAAAUACCCGGGCUUAACUUGGGAGCUGCAUUUCAAACUGGAUAUCUAGAGUGCAGGAGAGGAGAAUGGAAUUCCUAGUGUAGCGGUGAAAUGCGUAGAGAUUAGGAAGAACACCAGUGGCGAAGGCGAUUCUCUGGACUGUAACUGACGCUGAGGCACGAAAGCGUGGGUAGCAAACAGGAUUAGAUACCCUGGUAGUCCACGCCGUAAACGAUGAGUACUAGGUGUAGGAGGUAUCGACCCCUUCUGUGCCGCAGUAAACAC
Molecule: ribosomal RNA, 487 nt
Filed under: uncultured bacterium
Lineage: Bacteria
Description: partial 16S ribosomal RNA
Rfam family: Bacterial small subunit ribosomal RNA
Source: RNAcentral